AUAGCCUUCGAAUAGCUGAAUGGUUUAUCUAAUAAUCAUUUGGUUCAGACAGAGGCUUACAUUGGAAAGAAAUAAAUCCCUUGAACAAAUCUGUUUAAGGGUAAGGAUUGCUUUUUUGAUGCAGUUCUUUUCCUAGAUUAUUUCAAACAUAU
Amaranthus tricolor (Joseph's coat) is the source of this 152-nucleotide small nucleolar RNA. RefSeq annotates it as small nucleolar RNA snoR138. The transcript has a single exon. The record is from RefSeq and is a predicted model, not a curated record. Lineage: Eukaryota; Viridiplantae; Streptophyta; Magnoliopsida; Caryophyllales; Amaranthaceae.